GUCCAUGCCGUAAACGUUGGGCACUAGGUGUGGGGGACAUUCCACGUUUUCCGCGCCGUAGCUAACGCAUUAAGUGCCCCGCCUGGGGGAGUACGGCCGCAAGGCUAAAACUCAAAGGAAUUGACGGGGGCCCGCACAAGCGGCGGAGCAUGCGGAUUAAUUCGAUGCAACGCGAAGAACCUUACCAAGGCUUGACAUGGACCGGAAAUACCUGGAAACAGGUGCCCCGCUUGCGGUCGGUUCACAGGUGGUGCAUGGUUGUCGU
This 265-nucleotide ribosomal RNA is filed under the name uncultured bacterium. RNAcentral describes it as "partial 16S ribosomal RNA". It matches the Rfam family "Bacterial small subunit ribosomal RNA", at positions 793 to 1055 of the family's 1533-position model. The record is from RNAcentral.